GUCUGACAAAUUCUAAUGUUUCAUACAAAAUUCUUUUCUGAGCUGUCUAUUUUGCAUAGAUCUGAUGGGAAUUAAAUAGCUCUUUCUCCUCAACUGAAAAAUCGAUAUUCAGAACUCAUCUGAUAUCAAAUUUUGCUCUCAGUUUAAUCCAUGAUUAAUUGAAACAUGUCUCAUAUUUCUUGCUUUUUAUUGUCCUUUUAAAAAUGCCAUACAGAAAUCAUCAUAAAUCUAUUAUUUCAUCAUAGAAUUAAAAUAUGUAUUGAAAUGGCAUCACUUUAACAAAAAUGCAGGAUUUUUGUCAAGUUAAGAUUAAAAAUGUUUCAUUAUUCAAUUUACUCAGCCAUACUUUCUACAGGAAUUCAAUACAUCUAGCUUUCCAGUUCCUCUGUGGAAUACUUCAUCAUCUGGCAUAUGACCUCAGACCAUCUCCCAGGGUUUGGGGAGGGACAGUGGAAUACUUCUAGAAAAUCUUUUCAGGUAAGAAACACAAGAAAGGUGGUGCUCUUGUAAGAAAGUGCCCUGUAUAGAGAGCAGGAGCCCCAUAUUCACACCAAGGUGUAGCUCAUUGGUCCAAUUUUCUAAAAGUCACUCACUCUGCUGGAAGAUCUGUGAUUACAUGUCAGCUCCAAAUAGAGAGCCCCAAGUUCUCCCUGGAA
This 656-nucleotide long non-coding RNA is filed under the name Canis lupus familiaris (dog). RNAcentral describes it as "lncRNA (ENSCAFG00000054901.1, ENSCAFG00845006952.1)". The record is from RNAcentral. Lineage: Eukaryota; Metazoa; Chordata; Mammalia; Carnivora; Canidae.